CCCUUAGAUGUUCUGGGCGGCCCGCGCACUACAAUGGCGUGUGCAGCGAGUGCCGAAGUAGAGUUUUCCGAGGUAUUCUUGCAAUGCUCGUUUUGAUGGGGAUAGACCCUUGCAACUGUUGGUUUUGAACGAGGAAUUCCUUGUAAGCAUGGUUUAUCAUCCGACGCUGAAUGCGUCCCUGCCCUUUGUACACACCGCCCGUCGCUCCUACCGAUGAGUCGUCCGGUGAAGUUCGUAGACCUCGUGAUCGCGGAUCACUGGGGGAAGCAAAAUGAACCGCGCGGUUUAGAGGAAGGAGAAGUCGUAACA
RNAcentral lists this ribosomal RNA (309 nucleotides) under uncultured eukaryote. Its description in RNAcentral is "partial 18S ribosomal RNA". It matches the Rfam family "Eukaryotic small subunit ribosomal RNA", at positions 1470 to 1796 of the family's 1831-position model. The record is from RNAcentral.